Molecule: transfer RNA, 69 nt
Filed under: Ovis aries (sheep)
Lineage: Eukaryota; Metazoa; Chordata; Mammalia; Artiodactyla; Bovidae
Rfam family: tRNA
About the family: Transfer RNA (tRNA) molecules are approximately 80 nucleotides in length. Their secondary structure includes four short double-helical elements and three loops (D, anti-codon, and T loops).
Source: Rfam by way of RNAcentral
CCUGGUGGCUCAGAGGUAAAAGUACCUGCCUCCAAUGCGGGAGACCCAGGUUCAAUCCCUGGGUCAGGA